GAAAUUACAGUGGGAGAAAGGAAUUGACUAAAAGCUUUUGAUUAAGGUAACUAAUCUUGAUAUCUUUCAUUUAUUUAUUUGAUUAUUUAAGAAAAAGAUAUAUGCAUGAGAUAUAUUCUAUGACAAGCAUUUAUUUCUCUCAUACACAUGUUUGAGUUUAAUUCAGAAAACCAAACUCGAAUAUAUUACUAUACCAUCUCAAUUGUUUAUACCACUGGGUAAUUGGGGUAUCUUCAAAUGCAUUAAAUUAGGGUUUCUAUCAUAAAUUAGGGUUCUUUAGAAAUUUGGGCAUUUUGAUUAUGUUGAUGAUUAUAUGAAAUUGAAUGGGAGAUUUUGUUAGUGUGUUUGAGGGAUGUAUUCGGAGGGUGGAAUUGAUGGGAAGGAGGGUCGGAGAGCCGCCGUGACGAGCUCGUCGACGGAGACCGACGUGGGGAGGCAAAGCGAAGAGGAAAAAAAGAAGGGGAAUAACGAGGGUGUUGGGUAGUGAACGAAGGAGAGGGUGGUGUAGUGCCACCACGGCCUGACGCCGGCAGCGGCGGCGAUGGUGAUGUAUGGCAGGGGAGAGAGGAGAUAAAAGAUGUGAGGGAGAUGAAGAAGGGGCAGUUUUGUAAUUUGCUUGUAAAUGGGUACUGAUAAUUAGUCUGCUGGGUAAAAUAUUGUUGCUGGAUUGUAAAAUAAAUUGUAUAUUUGGAUUCUUUGCGGAAAAAUAGAUGGAAUAGGCUUUUGAAUCGUUAAAAACGGAUUAGAAACGAAGGAGAUAUUAGCGGUCAAAGUUUCACCAUUAGAGUUGACUUCGAGGAGAGAGAAAGUGUUGGUGAGGUUGAGGAAGAUGAUGAUGAUGUGUCAUCUUCUAAUUGGCUAAAAUAUUUAAGGUUAGUAUUUAAUUAAUUUGAGGGAUUAAAUGAUGGAAUUAGUAGAAGUGUAAAAUAUGAAGAUUUAAGUAAAUAGUUUUUCGGAUUUAAUGGUGAAAUCAAAUUUUGGGUUCGAGAAAUAUUAAAUACAAUUCUAUAUUGGGUGAUUUAAUAAAUAAUUACUGAAUUUGUGGAUAUGGUUAAUAAGGAAGUGAGACUUUGGGAAAUCGAUAUAAUAACAAGAAUGGAACAAAUUAGAGAUAUUUGUGUGGAUUCUUGUCGCGAAUAAAUAAAUUAUAAGUAGAGAUUUAUAAUACAAUAUUUAAAGAUUUGAUUAACGAAUGAUUUAAGUGGAUUACUUAGAUUAAUAAUAGGGAUAUCAUUAUUUAAUUGAAGUCCAUUAUUUGGGGAUUUAAGGGAUAAUCGAUAGACUAGAGGAAUAAGAUAAAAACAAUCUAUAUAUUAUCAAAGGGAGGAGCUAUAAAUUAUGAAUUUAUAGUAGAUUAAUCGAGAUUAUUACUUAAAGUGGAGAAUUACUAAAUUUGUUAUUUCAUGUGGUAUAGAAUAUUUCUUAUCUGGAAGGCGAGCUCAAUUAUCCAAAUUGAGAUAGGAAUAUUUUUAUUUACCAAAGGAUGCCAGGCAAGUUCACUUAAUUCCUUCUCUUGAUGUGCCAAAGUUGUGUUAUUGAUUUAUCAAAUGUGAUUAUGUCUGAUAAUUGAUUCUAUGCUUGAAACUCGAUACUUUAAUAUAUUUGAAUAUUUCGAGAAGAUCUGGGAGAGACGGACACUAGAAGAUUUGACAUUUAUUCAUAUUAUUAUUAAAACAAACUUUCUUUGUUACCCAAGUCCACUCAUUGCUCUGGGUUGACUCAGUAUUGUGGAAAACCAGAAAUACCAUUAAUUUUCAAAUGUUUAACCUAUCAUAUUUUUUUUUUGAAAUGAUUAUUCUAUUCAGAAAUCUUUGCAUCGUUACAGAAUUCAUAUUCAAUAUUUGAUUACAACCUUGCUCGCAAUUGAGAAGUCUAGUUCAUAUCUUUGAGUUAUUGUUUCAAUACGAGCAUAAUUCAAUUGAAUUGUUCCAACCCUGAUUAUUCGCUAAUAUUGCUAUUUUGGUUGUCGAGAUCCCUAUCUUUUGAUUCGCUCCUUCUUAUGAACUUUGAUGAACCUGAUGUUCCCUUCAAAUAACUGAUUAUUCCUUCCAUAUACCUUAAAGUGGAUAAAUUGCUUGAUUAUUGAUUUCCUCUUAUGUUUCCUUAUUCUCUUUCAAUCUGUUAAACUUCUAUUCUUUAAUUCGAACAAUGAUUAAUCGAUUUUAUACAAGGAUCGUUAACCAUGUUCGGUUCUAUGUUAUUGUUCUUGGAAUGUUGUGAUCGGAUUACUUGUCUUCAUAAUCCGAGAGGUAUUAAAUUCUGAAUUGUGAGGAUGCAUUUGUUCGCAUUCUUGUGAGAAAAGGGAAGAUUUAUUCAAUAUGAAGUGUGCCAAUUUGUACUCAGGGGAUGAAUUUCAUAAACUGGUCAACACGAAUGAUUUGCAUUCGUGGAAGUGGUGGAAAAUGUAAAUUCUCUAUGUGGGGUAAAUUUGAGGGUUGAAAAUGAUAACCCUUAUGCUAGCAAAGUGUGGAAUUUGUGGGUGGCGCCAUUCGACAGUCGCGAUCAGGCUGCGAGGGCGACACAGGGUGGUACUCGCUCAAUGGCAGUGAUCGAGCCUUGUGUGGGACCACUGGGAUGGAGACCAGUAAUUGAUAUUUUAUUCUUUCUUGAACUCUGUAUGUGUGUUUGAUUGCAGCACUUCCUUUGAAUCUGCUUAAUUGACCUGUGUAAAUCCUUUUGUGAUUUAUCUUGUGAUGAUUUGUGUCAUAGUGGACUUGCUGAGCAUUCAAUUGCUCAUACUUGCAAUUCUUGAUUUCCUUUAAACAACAAAGGUAGAAUAAUGCACGAUUGAGAAGAACAAUCCAAAAGCGCACAAUAGCACGAACAAGGACAAGGCGUGAGGCUGUGGCAAGACGAAGGGUGGGAAGACUUGUUCCCGUGACGAGGAUAAGUGUAAUAUCGACUUUGGACUUGUGGGGCAAGGUAUGCAUCGUAAAACAGGUAUGCUGAAGGGGUGUGACGGCCUAGAUCCGAGGAAUGCGGAUCUGGGGGCGUUACAUAUUUGGUAUCAGAGCUGUGUUAUAUUCUUAGGAGACGGGAACCCUAGGAAUAUAACGAGAGAGUGAGAAACAAUAAUACAAGAGAUAAGAUAUAUGUAUAUGAUAGUUAUACAUCUACGAGAACAGGCAACGUUAUACAUGAAACCCGAAAAUCUAUAGUGGGACAUGAAACCUCAUAGUUAUAAAUACAUAUAUGUAUAUACAUGUAUCUUUAAGAUGAGAAACUUACAAUGACAUUGUUUAAUUAUUUGUGAAGAUGAUAAUAGCUAGAGGACGCUCUUAUACACCCUAUCUUUAGGAAUAAUAUGGGUUGUGGUGCAUCAAAGUAAAUUAUGAUUGCUCAUAGCAAUUCAGAGAAUAUGAUUAUUCUAGUCAUUGAGCCUUCACCACCUGAGGUUAUAGGUUUGGUAACCUACUAGUUACCCAGUAAUUAUUACCAUGUCAGAGGGAUAGGCAUCAAAUUUACCUUAUAAAUUUUUUCCGAGACUAACGUCUCACUAUCAUUGAAUAUCCAAAUAUCCACCCUCGUCUUCUAUCCUUUCAUUACUUACAUCAGAGGUUAGAUAUGAUCAGUGAUUGUCGAAGAUACUUGGAUGCUUUCAGCUGACUUUUCUAAAGGCUACUUCAUUCACUUUUGAUUCCACUACGAUGCUAACUCCUUAUCGGUAUCAAUUCAAGUUCCAUACCUAUAACAACACCACAUAUUGGCGAGAUUUUUCUCCCAUAUUUUGCAAUUUUCCAGUUCAAUAUAUAUAUUCAAAUACCAAGCCAUGAGCUCGAAUGUUACAACUAGAGAUUUCUACCCCAAAGACUUUUGUUCCCAUCUCAUGUUAUAUUAAGAUUCCGAUCUUUCUAUUAUAAGGUUCCUUCUUUUCUACUUUGAAACUCUUUUAUCAAUUUCUGUUCCAAUUUCCGCAUCAAUCUCAACACCAAAUUUUUAUUCCAACACCAAUCAGUUCUUGUUCUUAUGCUCCAUAUGUUGGGAGCGAGACAGUGCCACUCUCUAAACACUUUACAUUAUAUGAUGGUAUCAGAUGUUAUCGAAGUAUUACUUUGAGUUUUCAGUUUUUCAUGACGUAUCUUUGGGGAUACGAGAAUUAUAUAUUUGUUCAGGAAGUCUGGGUUCCUGGCUCGGGUAAUUAUGAUAAAAGAAUCUAUCGAAUAGUUAUUUAUGUAUUCGAGAGAUUUUGGAUAUAUAUUCAACAGACUUUGUCAACCGGCUUCGGACACAUUGGAGCCAUUGUUGUGAAUUGAAAAUUCUAAGAAUUUUGGUAUAAAGUUACAGAGAUAUUCAAACAUCGAUGGUUCAGAUUUCUUUGGUAUAAUUUGAUUUUUGUAAGAUAACAUUUAUAAUUUACGAGUAUUUGGAGUUCUAUUUCUGUUCGUAUAUAGUUCAUGACUAUUGACAUUGUACGCUAACGGGCAUGAGAGUCUUGCAUUUCCUUAUUAUUACAAUGCAGAUUCGUACAUAAGAUCUUUCGAGCAAAUAGGGAUGU
RNAcentral lists this long non-coding RNA (4495 nucleotides) under Daucus carota (carrot). RNAcentral describes it as "long non-coding RNA (DCAR_LNC002572)". Lineage: Eukaryota; Viridiplantae; Streptophyta; Magnoliopsida; Apiales; Apiaceae. The record is from RNAcentral.